UAAGGAAUAUUGGUCAAUGGACGCAAGUCUGAACCAGCCAUGCCGCGUGAAGGAUUAAGGCCCUCUGGGUUGUAAACUUCUUUUAUAGGGGAAGAAAUGUGACGGUUCUCCGUCACUUGACGGUACCCUGGGAAUAAGCACCGGCUAACUCCGUGCCAGCAGCCGCGGUACUACGGAGGGUGCAAGCGUUAUCCGGAUUCACUGGGUUUAAAGGGUGCGUAGGUGGGCAGAUAAGUCAGUGGUGAAAUCUUCCGGCUUAACCGGGAAACUGCCGUUGAUACUAUUUGUCGUGAAUAUUGCGGAGGUAAGCGGAAUAUGUCAUGGAGCGGUGAAAUGCUUAGAUAUGACAUAGAACACCAAUUGCGAAGGCAGCUUACUACACAAUCAUUGACACUGAGGCACGAAAGCGUGGGUAGCGAACA
RNAcentral lists this ribosomal RNA (422 nucleotides) under uncultured bacterium. RNAcentral describes it as "bacterial SSU rRNA". It matches the Rfam family "Bacterial small subunit ribosomal RNA", at positions 355 to 774 of the family's 1533-position model. The record is from RNAcentral.